This 504-nucleotide ribosomal RNA is filed under the name Eutropis sp. ZFMK74514. Its description in RNAcentral is "partial 16S ribosomal RNA". It matches the Rfam family "Bacterial large subunit ribosomal RNA", at positions 1850 to 2610 of the family's 2925-position model. Lineage: Eukaryota; Metazoa; Chordata; Lepidosauria; Squamata; Scincidae. The record is from RNAcentral.
AGGUCCCGCCUGCCCAGUGAUAACCUUUUAACGGCCGCGGUAUUCUAACCGUGCAAAGGUAGCGUAAUCACUUGUCUUCUAAAUAAAGACCAGUAUGAACGGCUAAAUGAGGACAAACCUGUCUCUUAUAACUAAUCAGUGAAACUGAUCUCCCAGUACAAAAGCUGGAAUAGCUACAUAAGACGAGAAGACCCCGUGGAGCUUUAAACAAAUCACUAAACAUUAUAGUGUACUGUUUUAAGUUGGGGCGACUUCGGAAUAAAGAAAAACUUCCGAGCACAGAACCACUUCUUCUAACUAAGGUAAACAAACCUAAGUACAAAACUGAUCCGGUCACACCGACCAACGAACCAAGUUACCCCGGGGAUAACAGCGCUAUCUUCUUUUAGAGUCCCUAUCAACAAGAAGGUUUACGACCUCGAUGUUGGAUCAGGACACCCAAAUGGUGCAGCCGCUAUUAAAGGUUCGUUUGUUCAACGAUUAACAGUCCUACGUGAUCUGAGU